This 67-nucleotide transfer RNA is filed under the name Heterocephalus glaber (naked mole-rat). It matches the Rfam family "tRNA". Rfam says of the family: Transfer RNA (tRNA) molecules are approximately 80 nucleotides in length. The record is from Rfam by way of RNAcentral. Lineage: Eukaryota; Metazoa; Chordata; Mammalia; Rodentia; Bathyergidae.
GGCCAUAGCUCAGUGAUAGAGUGCUUGCCUGGCACACAUGAAGCCCUGGGUUUAUUUCCCAGUGCCA